This 920-nucleotide ribosomal RNA is filed under the name uncultured bacterium. RNAcentral's name for it is "bacterial SSU rRNA". It matches the Rfam family "Bacterial small subunit ribosomal RNA", at positions 56 to 954 of the family's 1533-position model. The record is from RNAcentral.
UGCAGUCGAGCGGUACAGAUCGCUGUGAUCCUUUCGAGGUGAACUUGAUGCUGACGAGCGGCGGACGGGUGAGUAACGCGUAGGAAUCUGCCCAGUAGAGGGGGAUAGCCCGGGGAAACCCGGAUUAAUACCGCAUACGCCCUACGGGGGAAAGGCCGGGAUCUUCGGACCGGUCACUAUUGGAUGAGCCUGCGUUGGAUUAGCUUGUUGGUGGGGUAAAGGCCCACCAAGGCGACGAUCCAUAGCUGGUCUGAGAGGAUGAUCAGCCACACUGGAACUGAGACACGGUCCAGACUCCUACGGGAGGCAGCAGUCGGGAAUAUUGGACAAUGGGGGCAACCCUGAUCCAGCCAUGCCGCGUGUGUGAAGAAGGCCUUCGGGUUGUAAAGCACUUUCAGUAGGGAGGAAGGCUGUAGCGUUAAUAGCGCUGCGGAUUGACGUUACCUACAGAAGCAGCACCGGCUAACUCCGUGCCAGCAGCCGCGGUAAUACGGAGGGUGCAAGCGUUAAUCGGAAUUACUGGGCGUAAAGCGCGCGUAGGCGGUUUGGUCAGUUGGAUGUGAAAGCCCAGGGCUUAACCUUGGAACUGCAUUCAAUACUGCCAGGCUAGAGUACGGUAGAGGGGGGUAGAAUUCCACGUGUAGCGGUGAAAUGCGUAGAGAUGUGGAGGAAUACCAGUGGCGAAGGCGGCCCCCUGGAUCGAUACUGACGCUGAGGUGCGAAAGCGUGGGGAGCAAAUAGGAUUAGAUACCCUGGUAGUCCACGCCGUANACGAUGUCAACUAGCCGUUGGAGAUCUUGUAUCUUUAGUGGCGUAGCUAACGCGCUAAGUUGACCGCCUGGGGAGUACGGUCGCAAGAUUAAAACUCAAAUGAAUUGACGGGGGCCCGCACAAGCGGUGGAGCAUGUGGUUUAAUUCGA